UACGUAGGGUGCAAGCGUUGUCCGGAAUUAUUGGGCGUAAAGAGCUCGUAGGCGGUUUGUCGCGUCGGCUGUGAAAACUCGGGGCUCAACCCCGAGCCUGCAGUCGAUACGGGCAGACUAGAGUGCGGUAGGGGAGACUGGAAUUCCCGGUGUAGCGGUGAAAUGCGCAGAUAUCAGGAGGAACACCGGUGGCGAAGGCGGGUCUCUGGGCCGUAACUGACGCUGAGGAGCGAAAGCGUGGGGAGCAAACAGG
RNAcentral lists this ribosomal RNA (253 nucleotides) under uncultured bacterium. Its description in RNAcentral is "partial 16S ribosomal RNA". It matches the Rfam family "Bacterial small subunit ribosomal RNA", at positions 524 to 776 of the family's 1533-position model. The record is from RNAcentral.